GUCUUAGCUCAGUGGUCAGAGCACCUGCUUUGCAUGCAGAGGGUCCCAGGUUCAGUCCCCGCGGGCAGCA
Molecule: non-coding RNA, 70 nt
Organism: Podarcis lilfordi (Lilford's wall lizard)
Lineage: Eukaryota; Metazoa; Chordata; Lepidosauria; Squamata; Lacertidae
Source: the annotation of a GenBank genome assembly